GCCCCCGUAGCUCAGGUGGAUAGAGCACCUGUUUCCUAAACAGGUGGCCGCCCGUUCGAGUCGGGCCGGGGGCGCCA
This 77-nucleotide transfer RNA is filed under the name Deltaproteobacteria bacterium. RNAcentral describes it as "tRNA-Arg". It matches the Rfam family "tRNA". Rfam says of the family: Transfer RNA (tRNA) molecules are approximately 80 nucleotides in length. Their secondary structure includes four short double-helical elements and three loops (D, anti-codon, and T loops). Further hydrogen bonds mediate the characteristic L-shaped molecular structure. tRNAs have two regions of fundamental functional importance: the anti-codon, which is responsible for specific mRNA codon recognition, and the 3' end, to which the tRNAs corresponding amino acid is attached (by aminoacyl-tRNA synthetases). tRNAs cope with the degeneracy of the genetic code in two manners: having more than one tRNA (with a specific anti-codon) for a particular amino acid; and 'wobble' base-pairing, i.e. permitting non-standard base-pairing at the 3rd anti-codon position. Lineage: Bacteria; Pseudomonadati; Myxococcota; Myxococcia. The record is from RNAcentral. RNAcentral also lists the same sequence under 2 other names.